AGCAGCCGCCACGGUAAUACGUAGGUGGCAAGCGUUGUCCGGAAUUAUUGGGCGUAAAGGGCUCGCAGGCGGUUUCUUAAGUCUGAUGUGAAAGCCCCCGGCUCAACCGGGGAGGGUCAUUGGAAACUGGGAAACUUGAGUGCAGAAGAGGAGAGUGGAAUUCCACGUGUAGCGGUGAAAUGCGUAGAGAUGUGGAGGAACACCAGUGGCGAAGGCGACUCUCUGGUCUGUAACUGACGCUGAGGAGCGAAAGCGUGGGGAGCGAACAGGAUUAGAUACCCGCGUAGUCCCUGUCUCUUAUAC
Molecule: ribosomal RNA, 303 nt
Filed under: uncultured bacterium
Lineage: Bacteria
Description: partial 16S ribosomal RNA
Rfam family: Bacterial small subunit ribosomal RNA
Source: RNAcentral